GCUUAACGCGAAGAACCUUACCUGGUCUUGACAUCCACGGAACUUUCCAGAGAUGGAUUGGUGCCUUCGGGAACCGUGAGACAGGUGCUGCAUGGCCGUCGUCAGCUCGUGUCGUGAGAUGUUGGGUUAAGUCCCGCAACGAGCGCAACCCUUGUCCUUAGUUGCCAGCACGUAAUGGUGGGAACUCUAAGGAGACCGCCGGUGACAAACCGGAGGAAGGUGGGGAUGACGUCAAGUCAUCAUGGCCCUUACGACCAGGGCUACACACGUACUACAAUGGGAAGGACAGAGGGCUGCAAUCCCGCGAGGGGGAGCCAAUCCCAGAAACCUUCUCUCAGUCCGGAUCGGAGUCUGCAACUCGACUCCGUGAAGUCGGAAUCGCUAGUAAUCGCAGAUCAGCAUUGCUGCGGUGAAUACGUUCCCGGGUCUUGUACACACCG
RNAcentral lists this ribosomal RNA (440 nucleotides) under uncultured bacterium. Its description in RNAcentral is "bacterial SSU rRNA". It matches the Rfam family "Bacterial small subunit ribosomal RNA", at positions 954 to 1392 of the family's 1533-position model. The record is from RNAcentral.